Conger conger (European conger) is the source of this 3206-nucleotide long non-coding RNA. RefSeq lists it as uncharacterized. The transcript has 2 exons. Lineage: Eukaryota; Metazoa; Chordata; Actinopteri; Anguilliformes; Congridae. The record is from RefSeq and is a predicted model, not a curated record.
AAACCUACAAAAUCAGCAAGGGAUCAAAUAAUUAUUGCUCCCACUAUAUUAUAGAAUUUACCAACUGCAUGCUGUCAAUGUGAUGGAAACACUUGCUUACUCACUGACUUUUAGUUCAUUACUAAGUAAGCUGGUUAGUUUAUUACUAAGUACGCUGGUUAGCGAACAACCUAACUAACAUUAGCUUAUCACUUUAUGUCCAAAAGUUGAAGACUAUGCCAUUUACAAAAAUGAUUUGAACAGGUCUGUGUAAAUGUCCGAAAAUUUAUCACAGUUUUGUACUGAAUUUCUUCCGUUUCCACAACUCUUACACACUUAAACCCGCCCCGAUGACCUGACCAAUCACAGCUCUUACACACUUAAACCCACCCCAAUGACCUGACCAAUCACAGCUCUUACACACUUAAACCCACCCCAAUGACCUGACAAAUCACAAUCUUACAUAUUUAACCAGUCCUGUCACUCAGAAUGGUGAGUGCUUGACUGCAGAGCUGAUGACUGAGCUUACGCAGCCUCCUGCAUUCAUGAUGAGAAAUUAACUGAAGAACUGUAUUUAAUGCCAGUUUCAGGGUGCUGUUACUAUGGCCGUCGAUCGAGCGAUUGUGUACAGUCUGACAUUAUUCUGACAUACGUCACUCCCAACUCGGGGCUACAGCCCUGCAAGCAUGCAUACCAGGGAGCAAACGCAUCUCAGAGACAAAGUGAAGGUGCAUACCAGGGAGCAAACGCAUCUCAGAGACGUAGUGAAGGUCGCACUGCAGGAGAACUGCGACUUCGCACACUUUAAGCAUACUUAGCCUCGCCCUGUUUACCAACCCCUCUGCGUAUCGAUAUGCUGUUUUUUGUGUCAGUCUAAAUGUUGACGUUUGUGAAUCUGUGUCCAUAUUAGCCUGCUGUGAAAAGAAUAUCCUCCUUAGAGGACAUCUGUAACCCCAGUAUUCAUCACUUCAAUUUCAAUUCAGUUUUAUUUGUAAAGCACUUUUUACGGAAGACUGUCAGAAAGGCUCUUUAAAGAGUAAAAACAUGGACAAACACAUGAGGUUUAAAAAAAACUCCCCAGUGGGGAGAAAAAACAGCCCAAUGGGGAAAAGCAUGAGCUGUACCCCCAAUCCCCCACGUGCCUCCUUCUGUUACCUCCAAUCCCCCACGCGCCUCCUUCUGUAACCCCCAAUUCCCCCACACGCCUCCUUCUGUUACCCCCAAUCCCCCCACACGCCUCCUUCUGUUACCCCCAAUCCCCCACGCGCCUCCUUCUGUUACCCCCAAUUCCCCCACACGCCUCCUUCUGUUACCUCCAAUCCCCCACGCGCCUCCUUCUGUAACCCCCAAUUCCCCCACACGCCUCCUUCUGUUACCCCCAAUCCCCCCACACGCCUCCUUCUGUUACCCCCAAUCCCCCACGCGCCUCCUUCUGUUACCCCCAAUUCCCCCACACGCCUCCUUCUGUUACCCCCAAUCCCCCACGUGCCUCCUUCUGUUACCCCCAAUCUCCCAUGUGCCUCCUUCUGUUACCCCCAAUCCCCCACGCGCCUCCUUCUGUUACCCCCAAUCCCCCACGCGCCUCCUUCUGUUACCCCCAAUCCCCCACGCGCCUCCUUCUGUUACCCCCAAUCCCCCCACGGGCCUCCUUCUGGAACUCUAAUCCCUUCUGCCAAACUCAGCCCAGUACCACGAGCCCAAGCAGCGGAAGUACACUGAGUACCCCCCACCCCACCCCCCAGACCCCGAUCACCAACGCCCUUUGCCUUUUUCCACACGAUGCAGGCUUGAGGCUAUCUUAGGCCAAUGUAAUGUUAUAACCAAAAACUGCACACAAACAGUGAUGGAAGCUUUGUGUCCCACCUGUAACCACGUAACCACAUAUACCCCCCACCCCCCAACAUUGAUGAAAAAUGACAAAUCUGAGGUAUGAACGAAAUUGUCUGAAACCAUCCAAUUGCUGGUGUGGCUUUCACAUAAGCAGUGGAGCUCUUUAAAUGCCUGAGCCAUGAGUCAAUGUCAAUAUGCCAUUGUUCUGAGUGUGUUUCUGAUUAGCACAGUCCAGGGAAGUCAACAGUAUUGUAUACUGUCUAUACUGGCUCUUGUUUUAUAUUAAGAUGUGACAAUCCACACCACCACAUAUUGUUUUCAUCUCAAAAUACAUAAUUACUGUAACACUAAUUGCAACACAAAUUGUACUCCUAUUGUACAAUUGUACUUUUACUUGAGAGUAAAAAUUGUAGUUACUGUAUUAAUAUUUUUUUAUAUUUAUAUUCAUUUUAAUAACCUUGUGGCGAGAAAGUAGCUUGCAUAAAAAAAUGGUACUUCUAACAAUUCAACCCUAACUUUCUCUUGGAGGAACCCAGUGAGCAAAAGCCGGAAUCUAGACAUUGAGAGGGGUGGGAAUCUAGAAUGAGAUGUUUUAACUAGGUUCACUAGGUUAACUGGAAUAGCUGAUAUUUUACCUGUAUCUCACCUGGCUAUAUCCUAGUUGGCUAGAAAACCUUUCAAAUACAUGUAGCUGGGCACCUGAACUGUGAAAGUUUGUUUCAGACUUUUCACCACAAAAAUGUUCACUGGCUGUUUUGAAUUUUUGCAUAACUCAGUUUGGGUUCAGUUGUUUCAGGUGCAUUUCAUUCAGUAAAAGGGAUAGUACCACUAUAAUAACUGAGUAAUGUAAUGAAGCUUGAAAACAUUGAACUAACUGAACAAAGUCUCCUUAGAAAAAAGGUUUGGAAAACCACCAAAAGGGGGCAGUAUUGUCAUUAUUAAAAAUAGUCCUAUUAUACCUAUAUGUACAACUACAGAUUACUUUGCAGGCUUUAUUUCAACUAUGUCCCACUCAGUCUUGAAUAAUAAAAAUAGUCAUACAUAGAUUUAUAUCAGGUACAGGUGAUAGAAAUAAAAUGUACCCCAGUCUUGUUGGAUAACCAUUUCAAGGGAGCGUCCAUUCACCCUAUGUUUGAAUAACUCACUCAUCGUAGCUGGGUUUGACAUGCUGCUGAUUUAAACCUGGGAUUCUUUUCACAAACAAUUACUUUGAAUGGCUGUUCUCAGAAUUUCACCUUCACUGUUUUGUCUGCAUGUCUUAAUUUUUUAAUAACCAUUGUUGUCAUUUUGGAGUACUGGCCUUGUGAUGAAUAAUGGAUGUAACUCUUAACUGUAGAAAGAAAAGCAGAUGUACUGCAUCAGAAUGUGUAUGCACCUAAUAAAUUAUAUAAAAACUA